Molecule: transfer RNA, 75 nt
Filed under: Fidelibacterota bacterium
Lineage: Bacteria; Pseudomonadati; Fidelibacterota
Description: tRNA-Val
Rfam family: tRNA
About the family: Transfer RNA (tRNA) molecules are approximately 80 nucleotides in length. Their secondary structure includes four short double-helical elements and three loops (D, anti-codon, and T loops).
Source: RNAcentral
GGGCGGUUAGCUCAGUGGUAGAGCACUGUGUUCACAUCGCAGGGGUCACAGGUUCAAAUCCUGUACCGCCCACCA